This 97-nucleotide signal recognition particle RNA is filed under the name Saprospiraceae bacterium. RNAcentral describes it as "signal recognition particle sRNA small type". It matches the Rfam family "Bacteroidales small SRP". Rfam says of the family: The non-coding component of the signal recognition particle in Bacteroides Lineage: Bacteria; Pseudomonadati; Bacteroidota; Saprospiria; Saprospirales; Saprospiraceae. The record is from RNAcentral.
GAGUGAGGGCUGUACGGUCAGCUCCUUCCGAACCCCCCCAGGGCAGAAAUGCAGCAAGGGUAGGAGGUUGAGCGACCGGUAUGGUUUCUCACUCUUU